Molecule: ribosomal RNA, 200 nt
Filed under: uncultured bacterium
Lineage: Bacteria
Description: partial 16S ribosomal RNA
Rfam family: Bacterial small subunit ribosomal RNA
Source: RNAcentral
AGAGUUUGAUCCUGGCUCAGAUUGAACGCUGGCGGCAUGCCUUACACAUGCAAGUCGAACGGCAGCACGGGUGCUUGCACCUGGUGGCGAGUGGCGAACGGGUGAGUAAUACAUCGGAACGUGUCCUGUAGUGGGGGAUAGCCCGGCGAAAGCCGGAUUAAUACCGCAUACGAUCUAGGAGUGAAAGCGGGGAAUCGGUU